MicroRNA precursor from Gorilla gorilla gorilla (western lowland gorilla), 84 nucleotides. It matches the Rfam family "mir-548 microRNA precursor family". The record is from Rfam. NCBI's taxonomy places the organism in Eukaryota, Metazoa, Chordata, Mammalia, Primates, Hominidae.
UAUUAGUUUAGUGCAAAAGUAAUUGUGGUUUUUGCCAUUGAAAGUAAUGGCAAAAACCACAAUUACUUUUGCACCAACCUAAUA